RNAcentral lists this ribosomal RNA (341 nucleotides) under uncultured microorganism. RNAcentral describes it as "bacterial SSU rRNA". It matches the Rfam family "Bacterial small subunit ribosomal RNA", at positions 9 to 351 of the family's 1533-position model. The record is from RNAcentral.
GAGUUUGAUCGUGGCUCAGAUUGAACGCUGGCGGCACGCUUAACACAUGCAAGUCGGACGGCAGCACGGGUGCUUGCACCUGGUGGCGAGUGGCGGACGGGUGAGUAAUGCUUAGGGAUCUGGCGCGAAGCGGGGGACAACACGGGGGAAACUCGUGCUAAUACCGCAUAAGCUCUGAGGAGUAAAGAUGGCCUCUAUUUAUAAGCUAUCGCUUUGCGAUGAACCUAAGUCGGAUUAGCUAGUUGUGGGUAAGGCUACCAAGGCGACGAUCCGUAGCUGGUCUGAGAGGACGAUCAGCCACACUGGGACUGAGACACGGCCCAGACUCCUACGGGAGGCAG